RNAcentral lists this ribosomal RNA (253 nucleotides) under uncultured bacterium. Its description in RNAcentral is "partial 16S ribosomal RNA". It matches the Rfam family "Bacterial small subunit ribosomal RNA", at positions 524 to 776 of the family's 1533-position model. The record is from RNAcentral.
UACGUAGGGGGCAAGCGUUGUCCGGAAUCAUUGGGCGUAAAGCGCGUGUAGGCGGCUCGAUAAGUCUGCUGUGAAAGUCCAGGGCUCAACCCUGGGAUGCCGGUGGAUACUGUCGAGCUCGAGUCCUGAAGAGGAGUGUGGAAUUCCUGGUGUAGCGGUGAAAUGCGCAGAUAUCAGGAGGAACACCAAUGGCGAAGGCAGCACUCUGGGACGUGACUGACGCUGAGACGCGAAAGCGUGGGGAGCAAACAGG